GUGCACGCGAAGGUCCCACUCCAGGCGAGCGCAGGGGAGGACCCGGAGCCCAGGGAGGUGUCCGCGGACAUCUCUGACAUGGCGGCAACCUUCUUACUGGUCUGGACCCUGGGUACCUGGCUGAAGACUUUGGACUUUAACCUGGAGAUGAUGGAGAGUAUGCAGGAUAAAGUCCAUACCAAAUCCAACGCCUAGCAAAUGGAGAACAAGCCAAAACUAACAAGAUAAAAUGUAGCAGGAAAAAGUGCAAAGAGCUGAAGUGUGGAAUAAGUGGGAGAGGUCUGCCAUGCCCUAUCUGACCUUGCUGCCAUGAUCUUUAAGGCUGUGUGUCCUGGUUGGUGCAGCUACAAGAUGGCAGAAAUGCCUAAGUGAUGGUGUGGAACAGAGGAUCCCUCUUCUCACCAUUGUCUUGCAUGUUUCCUUGUGUGAACCACAAAUAAACUUUUGUUAUGUUAAGCUGCUG
Molecule: long non-coding RNA, 463 nt
Filed under: Pan troglodytes (chimpanzee)
Lineage: Eukaryota; Metazoa; Chordata; Mammalia; Primates; Hominidae
Description: long non-coding RNA NONPTRT001426
Source: RNAcentral